RNAcentral lists this ribosomal RNA (237 nucleotides) under uncultured bacterium. RNAcentral describes it as "partial 16S ribosomal RNA". It matches the Rfam family "Bacterial small subunit ribosomal RNA", at positions 118 to 353 of the family's 1533-position model. The record is from RNAcentral.
UGAGCAAUCUGCCCUUCUCUUUGGAAUAAGCGUUGGAAACGACGUCUAAUGCCGAAUACGACCUCCUUUCGCAUGAUCGGAGGUGGAAAGCUCCGGCGGAGAAGGAUGAGCUCGCGGCCUAUCAGCUUGUUGGUGAGGUAACGGCUCACCAAGGCUUCGGACGGGUAGCCGGCCUGAGAGGGGCGACCGGCCACACUGGGACUGAGAUACGGCCCAGACUCCGUACGGGAGGNAGCG